Molecule: long non-coding RNA, 214 nt
Filed under: Carica papaya (papaya)
Lineage: Eukaryota; Viridiplantae; Streptophyta; Magnoliopsida; Brassicales; Caricaceae
Description: long non-coding RNA (CPAP_LNC016017)
Source: RNAcentral
CGUCAGCAGCCACAUCAGCAGCCCGGUCAACAGCCCCGACCAACCAGGAUGCACCGCGUGGCAAGGAAACGCUGACCAAGGGAUGGGCCACGUGGGCGAUCCGCGUGCGCGCGAUCGGACGGCCCAGAUCCGUUCCCGUGCGGACGGAUAGCCCAAAUCAAACGUGCGCACGGACGGCCCAGAUUGCAUUGCGAUGAACGACCCAGAUUUAAUC